This 384-nucleotide ribosomal RNA is filed under the name uncultured bacterium. Its description in RNAcentral is "partial 16S ribosomal RNA". It matches the Rfam family "Bacterial small subunit ribosomal RNA", at positions 29 to 333 of the family's 1533-position model. The record is from RNAcentral.
GCGAACGCUGGCGGCAGGCUUAACACAUGCAAGUCGAGCGCCCCACCUUCAGAGGGCAGCGGCGGAAGCCGGAAGGGCGGAACCCAGAAGUCGGAAGGUUCAUUUUCUGGUUUCUGGUUUCGGGCCUUCUGGUUUCUGGUUUUCUGUUUUCUGAUGGUGGGGAGCGGCAGACGGGUGAGUAACACGUGGGAACGUGCCUUUUGGUUCGGGACAACUCCGGGAAACUGGAGCUAAUACCGGAUAAGCCCUUCGGGGGAAAGAUUUAUCGCCAAGAGAUCGGCCCGCGUCUGAUUAGCUUGUUGGUGGGGUAAUGGCCCACCAAGGCGACGAUCAGUAGCUGGUCUGAGAGGAUGAUCAGCCACACUGGGACUGAGACACGGCCCA